CAGCAGCCGCGGUAAUACGUAGGGUGCGAGCGUUAAUCGGAAUUACUGGGCGUAAAGCGUGCGCAGGCGGUUCGUUAAGACAGAUGUGAAAUCCCCGGGCUUAACCUGGGGACUGCGCUUAAUACAGGCAGUCUAGAGUGAGGAAGAGGGUUGUGGAAUUCCCAGUGUAGAGGUGAAAUUCGUAGAUAUUGGGAAGAACACCGGUGGCGAAGGCGGCAACCUGGUCCUUGACUGACGCUGAGGCGCGAAAGCGUGGGGAGCAAACAGGAUUAGAUACCCGAGUAGUCCCUGUCUCUUAUAC
RNAcentral lists this ribosomal RNA (301 nucleotides) under uncultured bacterium. RNAcentral's name for it is "partial 16S ribosomal RNA". It matches the Rfam family "Bacterial small subunit ribosomal RNA", at positions 509 to 807 of the family's 1533-position model. The record is from RNAcentral.